Molecule: RNA transcript, 1144 nt
Organism: Bicyclus anynana (squinting bush brown)
Lineage: Eukaryota; Metazoa; Arthropoda; Insecta; Lepidoptera; Nymphalidae
Gene: dsx
Gene name: protein doublesex
Exons: 5
Source: RefSeq, a predicted model, not a curated record
CGGGCGGCGGGCAAUCAUCAGUCGCAUCGUGACCGCGCGUCGCGUUGUGUGUCGUUCCGGUCCGCGUGCGAAAUACAUCGCGACCACGGCCGACACUAACGGCGACAUGGUGUCCGUGGGCCCGUGGCGGCGCCGCACGCCCGACGAAUGCGACGAGCGCUCCGACCCCGGCGCCUCCAGCUCGGGCGUGCCGCGCGCGCCGCCCAACUGUGCGCGCUGCCGCAACCACCGGCUCAAGAUCGAGCUGAAGGGCCACAAGCGGUACUGCAAGUACCGGUACUGCACGUGCGAGAAGUGCCGGCUGACGGCCGACCGGCAGCGGGUCAUGGCGCUGCAGACGGCGCUGCGGCGUGCCCAGGCGCAGGACGAGGCGCGCGCGCGGGCGCGGGGCGGCGGGCCCGACCCGCGCCUGGAGCUGGACCGGCCCGAGCCGCCCGUGGUGAAGGCGCCGCGCAGCCCGCCGCCGCCGCCGCCGCGCUCCUUCGGCUCGGCCAGCGGCGACUCGGUGCCCGGCUCGCCCGGCGUGUCGCCGUACGCGCCGCCGCCGCCGCCCUCGGCGCCGCCCGUGCCGCCCAUGCCGCCGCUCUUGCCUCCGCAACAGCCCGCGGUGUCACUGGAGACCCUAGUUGAAAACUGUCAUAAGCUCCUAGAAAAAUUCCACUAUUCGUGGGAGAUGAUGCCCCUCGUGCUAGUCAUCCUCAACUACGCGGGCAGCGAUCUGGAGGAGGCGUCACGGAAGAUUGACGAAGGGAAGAUGAUCAUCAACGAGUACGCGAGGAAACACAAUCUGAACAUCUUUGACGGUCACGAACUACGGAACUCGACUCGCCAGAAAAUGCUGAGCGAAAUUAAUAAUAUAAGUGGUGUACUAUCAUCGUCGAUGAAGUUAUUUUGCGAAUGAUACUUUGUUUUACAAGUGCAAUGUUUUGUGUGGACGUGUGCUGUGCUAUGCUCUGUGCGAAUGCCGACGGACAAUCAUCGUUUGCUUGCGGAGGACAUUUUGCACAUUGGGUGGUCCACCAGUGGCAGCUGUACGAGCGCUCGCUGUGCUCCAUCCUCGAGCUGCAGGCGCGCAAGCGCACGUACGGCGUGUGCUGCUCGCCGCGCUACGUGCUCGCGCCGGAGUACGCGCCGCACUUGCUCC